RNAcentral lists this RNase P RNA (364 nucleotides) under bovine gut metagenome. RNAcentral describes it as "Bacterial RNase P class A". It matches the Rfam family "Bacterial RNase P class A". Rfam says of the family: Ribonuclease P (RNase P) is a ubiquitous endoribonuclease, found in archaea, bacteria and eukarya as well as chloroplasts and mitochondria. Its best characterised activity is the generation of mature 5'-ends of tRNAs by cleaving the 5'-leader elements of precursor-tRNAs. The record is from RNAcentral.
UGAAGUCGCCGUCGCCCGCAAGGGCGGCGGAGGAAAGUCCGGACUCCGCAGGGCAGGGCGUCCGGCUGUCAAGGCCGGAACGGCGUUGCAAUACCGGCGUCGAUGGAAAGUGCCACAGAAACAAACCGCCCCGCUGGCCCCGUAAGGGACCUCGUGGUAAGGGUGAAAAGGCGGUGCAAGAGACCACCGGCGCGGUCGAGAGGCCGCGCGUCCAGGCAAACCCCGCCCGGAGCAAGAUCAAAUAGGGGGACGAGGCGUGGCCCGCGCCGCUUGCCCGCAAGGGCAAUGAGUCCCCGGGUUGAUUGCUUAGAUGAAUGACUUCACUCCGCGAAAGCGGAACACAGAAUCUGGCUUAUGAAUCCCC